RNAcentral lists this ribosomal RNA (464 nucleotides) under uncultured bacterium. RNAcentral's name for it is "partial 16S ribosomal RNA". It matches the Rfam family "Bacterial small subunit ribosomal RNA", at positions 32 to 507 of the family's 1533-position model. The record is from RNAcentral.
AACGCUGGCGGCGUGCUUAACUCAUGCAAGUCGAUCGGAACGGCCCUGCUUUUGUGGGGUGCUCGAGUGGCGAACGGGUGAGUAUCACGUGAGUAACCUGCCCUUGACUUUGGGAUUACUUCAGUUAACUGGGGCUAAUACCGGUUAGGAGCUCCUUCUUCAUGGUUGUGGUUGUAUAGUUUCGGCGGUUGGUGAUGGACUCGCUGCUUAUCAGCUUGUUGGUGGGGUAGUUGCUUACCAAGGCUUUGACGGGUAGCCGGCCUGAGAGGGUGACCGGCCACAUUGGGACUGAGAUACGGAGCAGAAGGCAACGGGAGGCAGCAGUGGGGAAUAUUGCACAAUGGGCGGAAGCCUGAUGCAGAAACGCAGCGAGCGGGAUGACGGCCUUCGGGGUGUAAACCGCUUUAGCCUGUGACGAAGCGGGAGUGACGGUAAUGGGUAAAGAAGCACCGGCUAACUACGUG